RNAcentral lists this long non-coding RNA (778 nucleotides) under Sorghum bicolor (sorghum). Its description in RNAcentral is "long non-coding RNA (SBIC_LNC001381)". The record is from RNAcentral. Lineage: Eukaryota; Viridiplantae; Streptophyta; Magnoliopsida; Poales; Poaceae.
UAUCGAUUUCCAUGGAGAACAUGAAGUUCACUAACAAAGAAUUAGGUUUGUCCUAUGAUGGCAUAAGGGGUUAUGACAACUUGGGUAGAGAGGAUUUCUAUGGUUAUAAUAAUUGGUAAGGUAAGAUGGAUAUAAAGGUGAUGACCUUGCUUACUAGGAUGAAAAAUGAAACAAUAAGAGGACAAAACCCUUGCCCGAGGUGUUUAACCAGGUGGCCCUAUAAUUUUAAUAACUUGCAAAAAAAACAUGUGGUAGAUUACAAAGACCAAAUUGGGUUGUCACCUCCUACUAGCUACCAUGAAUGAUCCAUGCAACAAACAACAUAAACAUGCAGGAUAUAGUCUAUGGACCACAUCCACACUAUAACCAAGUAAUACUCUAACCUUGGGCCACUAAGUUCCCUUAUGGAAGCUUUUUUGCUAUCGGGGAAUAUAACCCAUUUUUCAUCAAGAGGAGUGAAUUACAUGACACUAAAGUAAAGUGAUGUAUCAAUGAAAACAAGUUAUACAUCACUUACAAGAAUUAGAUAUCAAAUACCAUAAAUAAUAUUAGAUGUUUACUUAUAAGAAGAUUGUUGAAAACCCUAGAUUGAUUUUGGAUAAUUGAUGAAACAUUAGUGUACUAACCUUUGGCUCUAAUUGUAUAUGAGAUAGGUUGGUACACACCAAGGUGUGGAGCAAUGAUGGCACUCAUGGUGAUGACGGUGGCCAGAAGAUGAGAUCAAGUGCUUCAACUUGGAAAAGAAGAAAGAAAAAAAACAAAAAUAGACUCAAGGCAA